This 939-nucleotide ribosomal RNA is filed under the name Inocybe leptospermi. RNAcentral describes it as "eukaryotic LSU rRNA". It matches the Rfam family "Eukaryotic large subunit ribosomal RNA", at positions 37 to 960 of the family's 3401-position model. Lineage: Eukaryota; Fungi; Basidiomycota; Agaricomycetes; Agaricales; Inocybaceae. The record is from RNAcentral.
AGCAUAUCAAUAAGCGGAGGAAAAGAAACUAACAAGGAUUCCCCUAGUAACUGCGAGUGAAGCGGGAAGAGCUCAAAUUUGAAAUCUGGCAGUUCUUUGACUGUCCGAGUUGUAAUCUAGAGAAGUGCUGCCUGUGCUGGACCAUGUACAAGUCUCCUGGAAUGGAGCAUCACAGAGGGUGAGAAUCCCGUCUUUGACAUGGACUACCUGUACAUUAUGGUGUGCUCUCAAAGAGUCGAGUUGUUUGGGAAUGCAGCUCAAAAUGGGUGGUAAAUGCCAUCUAAAGCUAAAUAUUGGCGAGAGACCGAUAGCGAACAAGUACCGUGAGGGAAAGAUGAAAAGAACUUUGGAAAGAGAGUUAAACAGUACGUGAAAUUGCUGAAAGGGAAACGCUUGAAGUCAGUCGCGUUGGCUAGAAAUCAGCCUUGCUUUUGCUUGGUGUACUUUCUGGUUGAUGGGUCAGCAUCAAUUUUGACCAUUGGAUAAAGUCUUUGGGAAUGUGGCAUCUUUGGAUGUGUUAUAGCCCAUUGUCACAUACGAUGGUUGGGAUUGAGGAACUCAGCACGCCGCAAGGCCGGGUUUCGACCACGUUCGUGCUUAGGAUGCUGGCAUAAUGGCUUUAAUCGACCCGUCUUGAAACACGGACCAAGGAGUCUAACAUGCCUGCGAGUGUUUGGGUGGAAAACCCAUGCGCGUAAUGAAAGUGAAAGUUGAGAUCCCUCUAAUAAAGGGAGCAUUGACGCCCGGACCAGACCUUUUGUGACGGAUCCGCGGUAGAGCAUGUAUGUUGGGACCCGAAAGAUGGUGAACUAUGCCUGAAUAGGGUGAAGCCAGAGGAAACUCUGGUGGAGGCUCGUAGCGAUUCUGACGUGCAAAUCGAUCGUCAAAUUUGGGUAUAGGGGCGAAAGACUAAUCGAACCAUCUAGUAGCUGGUUCCUG